CAGACUGAGAGUCAGGGGAAAGGGAAACGAGAGAUACCUGUAUGUAAAGGUACAGAACUAAUCGGAGCCGGCACCGAUGGCCAAGGAGCCCACAAUGGUCCAUUGUUGGCUGUGGAGGAGGUGAUAACGAAGGGAG
This is a long non-coding RNA of Amblyraja radiata (thorny skate), 136 nucleotides long. RefSeq lists it as uncharacterized. The record is from RefSeq and is a predicted model, not a curated record. NCBI's taxonomy places the organism in Eukaryota, Metazoa, Chordata, Chondrichthyes, Rajiformes, Rajidae. The transcript is spliced from 3 exons.